Molecule: ribosomal RNA, 408 nt
Filed under: uncultured bacterium
Lineage: Bacteria
Description: partial 16S ribosomal RNA
Rfam family: Bacterial small subunit ribosomal RNA
Source: RNAcentral
AGCGAACGCUGGCGGCGUGCCUAAUACAUGCAAGUCGAACGAAGUGGCGCACGGGGGAGUAAUAUAUAGUUAAUCUGCCCCAUACAGAGCAACAACAGUUGGAAACGACCGCUAAUACCUCAUAGUGUAGGAUGAGACUAUAUCGUACCAGCUAGUUGGCAAGGUAUUGGCUUACCAAUGCUAUGACGCGUAACUGGCCUGAGAGGAUGAUCAGGCACAUUGGAACUGAGACACGGUCCAAACUCCUACGGGAGGGAGCAGUAGGGAAUAUUGCGCAAUGGGGGGAAGCCUGGCGGGGCAACGCCGCGUGGAGGAUGGAACUUUUCGGAGCGUAAAAUCCUUUUAUCAGGAAAGCGGUACCUGAUGAAUAAGCACCGGCUAACUCCGUGCCAGCAGCCGCGGUAAUAC